RNAcentral lists this ribosomal RNA (613 nucleotides) under Hemiselmis sp. G3-37-2. RNAcentral describes it as "bacterial SSU rRNA". It matches the Rfam family "Eukaryotic small subunit ribosomal RNA", at positions 1 to 565 of the family's 1831-position model. Lineage: Eukaryota; Cryptophyceae; Cryptomonadales; Hemiselmidaceae. The record is from RNAcentral.
AACCUGGUUGAUCCUGCCAGUAGUCAUAUGCUUGUCUUAAGGAUUAAGCCAUGCAUGUCUCAGUACAAACGAUUUUGUACAGUGAAACUGCGAAUGGCUCAUUACAACAGUUAUAGUUUAUUUGAUCGUGCGGCGCUACGUGGAUAACCGUAGGAAUUCUAGAGCUAAUACAUGCACCAUUGCUUUUUCUUUUUAUAAAUAACUUUUUUAAAAGUUGGUUAUAUAAAAAAAAAGCGGGAUUUAUUAGAUCAAAAACCAAUCGUCUAUUUUCGAAUAGGCGUGGUAGGAUGAAUCAUGAUAACUAUCCGAAUCGCAUGGCUUUAUAAAACGGCCGGCGAUAAAUCAUUCAAAUUUCUGCCCUAUCAACUUUCGAUGGUAGGGUAGUGGCCUACCAUGGUGUUGACGGGUGACGGAGAAUUAGGGUUCGAUUCCGGAGAGGGAGCCUGAGAAAUGGCUACCACAUCCAAGGAAGGCAGCAGGCGCGUAAAUUACCCAAUCCUGAUUUAGGGAGGUAGCGACAAGAAAUAACGAUUGCAUACUCAUACGAGUUUGUUAAUUGGAAUGAGGAUAUUUUACACCCCUUCUCGAGGAUCCAUUGGAGGGCAAGUCUGGU